UGGAGAUAAGCGGACUCGAACCGCUGACAUCCGCC
Molecule: transfer RNA, 35 nt
Filed under: Solanum lycopersicum (tomato)
Lineage: Eukaryota; Viridiplantae; Streptophyta; Magnoliopsida; Solanales; Solanaceae
Also listed under: 1 other name
Description: tRNA-Ala
Source: RNAcentral